Molecule: ribosomal RNA, 481 nt
Filed under: uncultured bacterium
Lineage: Bacteria
Description: bacterial SSU rRNA
Rfam family: Bacterial small subunit ribosomal RNA
Source: RNAcentral
GAUGAACGCUAGCGGCAGGCUUAAUACAUGCAAGUCGAACGGUAACAGGUCUUCGGACGCUGACGAGUGGCGCACGGGUGAGGAACACGUACACAAUCUACCUUAUACUGGAGAAUAGCCCCGGGAAACUGGGAUUAAUACUCCAUAGUCUUUAAUGAUCACAUGAGAAAUAAAGUAAAGCUUCGGCGGUAUAAGAUGAGUGUGCGUCCCAUUAGAUUGUUGGUGAGGUAACGGCUCACCAAGUCGACGAUGGGUAGCUGGCGUGAGAGCGCGACCAGCCACACUGGCACUGAGACACGGGCCAGACUCCUACGGGAGGCAGCAGUAGGGAAUAUUGGUCAAUGGACGAAAGUCUGAACCAGCCAUGCCGCGUGGAAGAUGACUGCCCUCUGGGUUGUAAACUCCUUUUAUAUGGGAAGAAACCUCUGGAUUCACUCCAGAGCUGACGGUAUCAUAUGAAUAAGCACCGGCUAACUCCGUG